Molecule: ribosomal RNA, 899 nt
Filed under: uncultured archaeon
Lineage: Archaea
Description: bacterial SSU rRNA
Rfam family: Archaeal small subunit ribosomal RNA
Source: RNAcentral
CGGUUGAUCCUGCCGGACCCUACUGCUAUCGGGGUGGGACUAAGACAUGCGAGUUGAGCGUCUCUAAGCUAUGGUAGAGACGCAGCGUACGGCUCAGUAACACGUGGCUAACCUACCCUUAGGACGGGGACAACCCCGGGAAACUGGGGCUAAUACCCGAUAGGCGAGGAGGCCUGGAAUGGUUCCUAGUCGAAAAGGCGUUGAAACCAUGCUUUUCGACGUCGCCUAAGGAUGGGGCCGCGCCCGAUCAGGUUGUUGGUGGGGUAACGGCUCACCAAGCCUAUAACCGGUACGGGCCGUGAGAGCGGGAGCCCGGAGAUGGGCACUGAGACAAGGGCCCAGGCCCUACGGGGCGCAGCAGUCGCGAAAACUCCGCAAUGCGCGAAAGCGUGACGGGGCUACCCCGAGUGCCGUCCGCUGAGGAUGGCUUUUCCCCGGUGUAAUGAGCCGGGGGAAUAAGGAGAGGGCAAGUCUGGUGUCAGCCGCCGCGGUAAUGCCAGCUCUCCGAGUGGUAGGGAUGAUUAUUGGGCUUAAAGCGUCCGUAGCCGGCUUAGCAAGUCUCCUGUUAAAUUCAGCGACCUAAUCGUUGAGCCGCGGGAGAUACUACUAGGCUAGGAGGCGGGAGAGGCCGACGGUAUUCUCGGGGUAGGGGUGAAAUCCUAUAAUCCCGGGAGGACCACCAGUGGCGAAGGCUGUCGGCUAGAACGCGCUCGACGGUGAGGGACGAAAGCUGGGGGAGCGAACCGGAUUAGAUACCCGGGUAGUCCCAGCUGUAAACGAUGCGGGCUAGGUGUUGGGGUGGCUACGAGCCACUUCAGUGCCGCAGGGAAGCCAUUAAGCCCGCCGCCUGGGGAGUACGGCCGCAAGGCUGAAACUUAAAGGAAUUGGCGGGGGAGCAC